RNAcentral lists this ribosomal RNA (160 nucleotides) under uncultured Pseudomonas sp. RNAcentral describes it as "partial 16S ribosomal RNA". It matches the Rfam family "Bacterial small subunit ribosomal RNA", at positions 374 to 526 of the family's 1533-position model. Lineage: Bacteria; Pseudomonadati; Pseudomonadota; Gammaproteobacteria; Pseudomonadales; Pseudomonadaceae. The record is from RNAcentral.
GGCGAAGCCCUGAUCCAGCCAUGCCGCGUGUGUGAAGAAGGUCUUCGGAUUGUAAAGCACUUUAAGUUGGGAGGAAGGGCAUUAACCUAAUACGUUAGUGUUUUGACGUUACCGACAGAAUAAGCACCGGCUAACUCNGUGCCAGCAGCCGCGGUAAUAA